This 389-nucleotide ribosomal RNA is filed under the name uncultured bacterium. RNAcentral's name for it is "bacterial SSU rRNA". It matches the Rfam family "Bacterial small subunit ribosomal RNA", at positions 30 to 417 of the family's 1533-position model. The record is from RNAcentral.
AUUGAACGCUGGCGGCAUGCCUUACACAUGCAAGUCGAACGGCAGCACGGGGGGUAACCCCUGGUGGCGAGUGGCGAACGGGUGAGUAAUACAUCGGAACGUAUCCUGUAGCGGGGGAUAACCUCUCGAAAGAGAGGCUAAUACCGCAUACGACCUACGGGUGAAAGAGGGGGAUCGCAAGACCUCUCACUAUUGGAGCGGCCGAUGUCGGAUUAGCUAGUUGGUGGGGUAAAAGCCUACCAAGGCUACGAUCCGUAGCUGGUCUGAGAGGACGACCAGCCACACUGGAACUGAGACACGGUCCAGACUCCUACGGGAGGCAGCAGUGGGGAAUUUUGGACAAUGGGCGCAAGCCUGAUCCAGCCAUGCCGCGUGGGUGAAGAAGGCCU